This 253-nucleotide ribosomal RNA is filed under the name uncultured bacterium. Its description in RNAcentral is "partial 16S ribosomal RNA". It matches the Rfam family "Bacterial small subunit ribosomal RNA", at positions 524 to 776 of the family's 1533-position model. The record is from RNAcentral.
UACAGAGGGUGCAAGCGUUAAUCGGAAUUACUGGGCGUAAAGCGUGCGUAGACGGUUGCGUAAGUCAGAUGUGAAAGCCCCGGGCUCAACCUGGGAAUUGCAUUUGAGACUGCGCAGCUAGGGUGCGGAAGAGGGAAGCGGAAUUUCCGGUGUAGCGGUGAAAUGCGUAGAUAUCGGAAGGAACACCAGUGGCGAAGGCGGCUUCCUGGUCCAGCACCGACGUUCAGGCACGAAAGCGUGGGGAGCAAACAGG